UAAGGAAUAUUGGUCAAUGGACGCAAGUCUGAACCAGCCAUGCCGCGUGAAGGAUGAAGGUCCUCUGGAUUGUAAACUUCCUUUAUAUGGGACGAAACCUGGGAAUUCCUUCCCAAUUGACGGUACCAUAAGAAUAAGCACCGGCUAACUCCGUGCCAGCAGCCGCGGUAAUACGGAGGGUGCAAGCGUUAUCCGGAUUCACUGGGUUUAAAGGGUGCGUAGGAGGGUAGGUAAGUCAGUGGUGAAAUCUUCGAGCUUAACUCGGAAACUGCCGUUGAUACUAUCUAUCUUGAAUACCGUGGAGGUGAGCGGAAUAUGUCAUGUAGCGGUGAAAUGCUUAGAUAUGACAUAGAACACCAAUUGCGAAGGCAGCUCGCUACACGAAUAUUGACUCUGAGGCACGAAAGCGUGGGGAUCAAACA
RNAcentral lists this ribosomal RNA (422 nucleotides) under uncultured Flavisolibacter sp. Its description in RNAcentral is "bacterial SSU rRNA". It matches the Rfam family "Bacterial small subunit ribosomal RNA", at positions 355 to 774 of the family's 1533-position model. Lineage: Bacteria; Pseudomonadati; Bacteroidota; Chitinophagia; Chitinophagales; Chitinophagaceae. The record is from RNAcentral.